Long non-coding RNA from Mercenaria mercenaria, 210 nucleotides. RefSeq lists it as uncharacterized. The record is from RefSeq and is a predicted model, not a curated record. NCBI's taxonomy places the organism in Eukaryota, Metazoa, Mollusca, Bivalvia, Venerida, Veneridae. The transcript is spliced from 2 exons.
AGCUCUGGCAACCCCUAAUUAUUGCAGAGCAGAUUAAGGACAAUCAAAGGCUCUUAAGACCAAGUUUGAUUUCCAUGACAUUUUACACAGAGACAGAGGAAAAACCUGAAAAGUUCCUGUUAUCAGAAAUGGCAGCAUUCCAAUCACACCUUAGAAAAUUAUCCAGGAUACAGAUUUGCAAUUUUGGACAAUAAAGUUAUAAAAAUUCAA